This 18-nucleotide ribosomal RNA is filed under the name Botryococcus braunii. Its description in RNAcentral is "partial 28S ribosomal RNA". Lineage: Eukaryota; Viridiplantae; Chlorophyta; Trebouxiophyceae. The record is from RNAcentral.
UUCGACCUGAGCUCAGGC